CAGUAGCCGCGGGAAUACGAAGGGUGCAAGCGUUAAUCGGAAUUACUGGGCGUAAAGGGAGCGUAGGCGGCGUGGUAAGUCAGAUGUGAAAUCCCGGGGCUCAACCCCGGAACUGCAUCCGAUACUGCCAUGCUUGAGGGUUGGAGAGGUAGCUGGAGUUCUCGGUGUAGCAGUGAAAUGCGUGGAUAUCGAGAGGAACACUCGUGGCGAAGGCGAGCUACUGGACAACAUCUGACGCUGAGGCUCGAAGGCUAGGGUAGCGAAAGGGAUUAGAUACCCCCGUAGUCCCUGUCUCUUAUAC
This 301-nucleotide ribosomal RNA is filed under the name uncultured bacterium. RNAcentral describes it as "partial 16S ribosomal RNA". It matches the Rfam family "Bacterial small subunit ribosomal RNA", at positions 509 to 807 of the family's 1533-position model. The record is from RNAcentral.